UUGAGAGCCUUUCAUCGAAGACGUUUAACAACCUUUUAUUUGUUAAUCGUUCAAAAUAAGGCAUAAAGAAAUGACUCUCAAUAAGGUCUCUCGUUGUGUACUUUGUCAAUUAUCUUUGGGAAUUACCCAUUUGAGAUACAAUG
This 143-nucleotide small nucleolar RNA is filed under the name Tetranychus urticae (two-spotted spider mite). Its description in RNAcentral is "snoRNA tetur24g02682". Lineage: Eukaryota; Metazoa; Arthropoda; Arachnida; Trombidiformes; Tetranychidae. The record is from RNAcentral.